CAGAGUUGGGGGCGUGACAAAUACAUGCAAGUCGAGCGGACAGAUGGGAGCUUGCUCCCUGAUGUUAGCGGCGGACGGGUGAGUAACACGUGGGUAACCUGCCUGUAAGACUGGGAUAACUCCGGGAAACCGGGGCUAAUACCGGAUGGUUGUUUGAACCGCAUGGUUCAAACAUAAAAGGUGGCUUCGGCUACCACUUACAGAUGGACCCGCGGCGCAUUAGCUAGUUGGUGAGGUAACGGCUCACCAAGGCAACGAUGCGUAGCCGACCUGAGAGGGUGAUCGGCCACACUGGGACUGAGACACGGCCCAGACUCCUACGGGAGGCAGCAGUAGGGAAUCUUCCGCAAUGGACGAAAGUCUGACGGAGCAACGCCGCGUGAGUGAUGAAGGUUUUCGGAUCGUAAAGCUCUGUUGUUAGGGAAGAACAAGUACCGUUCGAAUAGGGCGGUACCUUGACGGUACCUAACCAGAAAGCCACGGCUAACUACGUGCCAGCAGCCGCGGUAAUACGUAGGUGGCAAGCCUUUCCGGAAUUAUUGGGCGUAAAGGGCUAGCAGCGGUUUCUUAGGCUGAUCUGAAAGCCCCCGGCUCAACCGGGGAGGGUCAUUGAAACUGGGGAACUUGAGUGCAGAAGAGGAGAGUGGAAUUCCACGUGUAGCGGUGAAAUGCGUAGAGAUUGGAGGAACACCAGUGGCGAAGGCGACUCUCUGGUCUGUAACUGACGCUGAGGAGCGAAAGCGUGGGGAGCGAACAGGAUUAGAUACCCUGGUAGUCCACGCCGUAAACGAUGAGUGCUAAGUGUUAGGGGUUUCCGCCCCUAGUGCUGCAGCUAACGCAUUAAGCACUCCGCUGGGAGUACCGUCGCAAGACUGAAACUCAAGGAUUGACGGAGGCCGCACAGCGAUGGAGCAUGUGAUUUAAUUCGAACAACGCGAAGAACCUUACCAGGUCUUGACAUCCUCUGACAAUCCUAGAGAUAGGACGUCCCCUUCGGGGGCAGAGUGACAGGUGGUGCAUGGUUGUCGUCAGCUCGUGUCGUGAGACGUUGGGUUAAGUCCCGCAACGAGCGCAACCCUUGAUCUUAGUUGCCAGCAUUCAGUUGGGCACUCUAAGGUGACUGCCGGUGACAAACCGGAGGAAGGUGGGGAUCACGUCAAAUCAUCAUGCCCCUUAUGACCUGGGCUACACACGUGCUACAAUGGACAGAACAAAGGGCAGCGAAACCGCGAGGUUAAGCCAAUCCCACAAAUCUGUUUUCAGUUCGGAUCGCAGUCUGCAACUUGACUGCGUGAAGCUGGAAUCGCUAGUAAUCGCGGAUCAGCAUGCCGCGGUGAAUACGUUCCCGGGCCUUGUACACACCGCCCGUCACACCACGAGAGUUUGUAACACCCGAAGUCGGUGAGGUAACCUUUUAGGAGCCAGCCGCCGAAGGUGGGACAGAUGAUUUGGGGUGAAAGGUUCGUAACCCCAACUG
Molecule: ribosomal RNA, 1477 nt
Filed under: Bacillus subtilis
Lineage: Bacteria; Bacillati; Bacillota; Bacilli; Caryophanales; Bacillaceae
Description: bacterial SSU rRNA
Rfam family: Bacterial small subunit ribosomal RNA
Source: RNAcentral